Non-coding RNA from Caenorhabditis elegans, 117 nucleotides. The record is from Ensembl. NCBI's taxonomy places the organism in Eukaryota, Metazoa, Nematoda, Chromadorea, Rhabditida, Rhabditidae.
AAAACCUUACUGAUCAACUCCAAGGUACCCAUUGGGAAACUGAUUAGGGUAGAAAUGAAAUCCAAGAACCGAUAGAAUAGCCAAUCCUCGGACUGCUUGCAAAUCCUGCCGCUUUGA